This is a long non-coding RNA of Bombus pascuorum, 1341 nucleotides long. RefSeq lists it as uncharacterized. NCBI's taxonomy places the organism in Eukaryota, Metazoa, Arthropoda, Insecta, Hymenoptera, Apidae. The transcript is spliced from 3 exons. The record is from RefSeq and is a predicted model, not a curated record.
UUAAUCUUGUGGUUAAUGCCGCGCAGUUAUUGAAUGUUAUAAACUAUAUAAAAGCGCAGUAAUUGAAAAGUGUACAAUAUAAUCUAUGUAGAUUCUAAUAUAACCUAUUGUAGAAAUGGAAACGAAAAGAUAUUAAUGUUAAACUUUAUGAUAAAGUUUAAAUUCUAUUUGUACACAAUCGAUAACUUCUUCUAAAUGAAUUGGAAUAAGCUGGUUGCACGGAAAAGAAGUUUACGUGUACGAUAUUGCAGCGAAAUCCGAGUAGGCAAUGAUUUGAAAAGUUUCGAUAAAAGUAGACGGAGAGGAAAACGACGCCGGAUCGAUUGUACAAUCGUGUGUGAUUUCCGUUCAAAGCCGUCCAAAGCAAUCAAUGGAACACGUCGAUGGCGAAUACAAAGAGUCAACUCUACUUCGUUGUUCUUGCUAGAAGAAAAUCUAAUAUUUCGUUCUCAUGCUUGUCUACCAUAAACUAUGUGCGGUCAUACACAAUUUAUAGACAUUGGUAAGACAAUAGUUAAUAUUAAUUCGUCUAAGUAGAGAAAAAAUCGAAAGUGGAUGAAGAUUGAUUUUAUAUAGACAUCCGAAUUCAGCGAUUCUAAAUGCAUCUGUUCCAUAUUGGGAAUUUAGGACGAAAUAAAUGUGUAUUUUAGCUACGUUCUAAAGUGCAUAUAGUUCUUAUGCAAAUUUUAACUGUCAGCCGUUUAUUGUAGUUAAACAUGGAAUUAUAAAGUUUAAUUAAAGAGUUUAUAAAGUUUAUAUAAAUUUUACCACGUGUCAGUCAUCCGUUACAGAUACACAUGGAACAAGAGCGAUACAGGUGUUCAAAUACUUAUGCACGGUAGAGUAUAUACCUCACUAGAGAUGAAAGGAUUAAAGAAGUCCGCUUUGCUAUGUUUACUAUAUAUAUAUAAUUCCGAAAGGACGAAAAGGUAGAGUAGCAGAUUCCACAGCAGUUGGAAUUGUGACAAAUAUUUCCGUAAUUUGCUUUUCGGAUUACCCCUUCCGAUGAUUUCAAUCCCCGUCCAUUAAUUCUAUCGUUAACGAAAUGCGCGAUUUAAUUACCUACAUUGGCCUGAUAGAAAUUCGAUAAAUAAUAUUACCACUGAUGAAAUAUAGCCAAUUAAAUAAAUAACAUGGCAUCGCGGUGCGGCGUGACACGAUCAUAGAAACUUUACGAUAUAGGUGAUCACAACAUGACGCAAUGAAAUCACCAAUUUAUAGAUAAGUAGAUGCUUAUUAUUUGUACAUUGUAUUCAUCAAGGGGAUCAUUAACACGGUAAGCUACAUUCUGGUACCCAUAUUUUUAUAAUGCGAUGUUCUUCCGUUUGCUUUUGUUUCAUU